RNAcentral lists this ribosomal RNA (773 nucleotides) under uncultured Neocallimastigales. RNAcentral's name for it is "partial large subunit ribosomal RNA". It matches the Rfam family "Eukaryotic large subunit ribosomal RNA", at positions 22 to 646 of the family's 3401-position model. Lineage: Eukaryota; Fungi; Neocallimastigomycota; Neocallimastigomycetes; Neocallimastigales. The record is from RNAcentral.
GUACACGCUGUGACUAGCAUAUCAAUAAGCGGAGGAAAAGAAACUAACAAGGAUUCCCCUAGUAACGGCGAGUGAAGCGGAAGAGCUCAAAUUUGAAAUCUUAAAGGGUUUCCCUUUACGAAUUGUAGUUUAAAGAAGUGUUUUCUGUUGAGGUUUUGGUAAAAGUUCUUUGGAAUAGGACAUCAUAGAGGGUGAGAAUCCCGUAUUUGACCAUUAUUUUCAGCUGUGUGAUACACUUUCAAAGAGUCGGAUUGUUUGGGAAUGCAGUCCAAAAUGGGUGGUAAAUUUCAUCUAAAGCUAAAUAUUGGCGAGAGACCGAUAGCGAACAAGUACCGUGAGGGAAAGAUGAAAAGAACUUUGAAAAGAGAGUUAAACAGUACGUGAAAUUGUCAAAAGGGAAGCGUUUGACACCAGUGUUGUUUUUCUGAAAAUCAAUUAAAGAACUGUUUAUGCUAAGUUGUUUAGACUUUAUCAGCUAACUGUUUAGUUUUGAGCUUUUCUUUAAUGCACUUUUCAGUUAACAAGUCAACAUCAAUUUCUUUUGCUGUAAAAAAGCUUGAGGAAGGUGGCUUGAGAUUCGUCUUAAGUGUUUAUAGCCUCUUGCCUAUGCAGUCGGAGAGAUUGAGGUCUGCAGCGUAGAUCCUUCGGGGCUAAAUGCAUUUGUGCUAAGUUAUAGCAUUUCAUAGACAACUUGUUGACUAUGAUUUGUCUUGUAGCUUACUCGCUUAUGUUAUUUUACCUACGCUUAGGAUGUUGACGAGACUGUCGAUCUC